UUGGAUUGGAGACGACGAAUGGAGUUUACUUCCGGCGACCGUGCCGCCGUUACCCAUUCAGACGAACAUAAACGACGGCACUGUUCUUCUAUUUUCAAACUCCCGUCAAACUUCACGAGUUCCUUCCGUUUCAUUGAAUUGCUUUCAUCUUCUUCCCACCAAAUCGAAACGACGUCGGAGAAGAAUUUUACUAUUCAUACCGAGAGGUGGACGUGUAACACCUGUAAUUACAGUUUUGAUUCCCUUCAUGACCAGCGGUCUCACUUCAAAUCAGAUUUUCAUAGAUUCAAUAUAAAGCUAAGUAUUGCAGGGAAGGAUACUAUCAAGGAGGAUGAUCAUGAUAUUAUAUCAAGUAUAUCAGGUUCAGAAGACAAAGAUAACAGAGAAUCUGGUGGCCAUGAUGAUUUAAGUAAGGGAUUGAUGGUGAGUACAAAACAGAAAGUUUCUAUACGUCUGCCAAAUGGAGAAUCAAUUUCAUUCUGGAAGUGCUUGCUUUUAGGUGACAAUGAGAAAAUUCGCUUUGAACAUGAUUUAUCUGGACCCAUAAAGGAUGACGAUACGCCGUUUGUGACAGUGAGGGAAGUGAUUGAGAAAAUGCUCAGUGUGAUCAAUGAGCCUAGAAACAAUACAUGUUUGAGAGUUAUCUUGCUUGCUAGCGCUGGUCGUUUUGCUGGUUGUGUCUUUGAUGGAAACACUGUUGUCACCCACAAAACAUUUCACAGAUAUGUAGUAAGGGCAAAAGCUGGUAAGAAGCAAUCGGCAGAAGAUGCUGGUGGCAAUAUUGCACAUUCUGCAGGAGCUUCAAUUCGACGGCACAAUGAACUUGCUUUAACCAAGGAUAUCCGCGAACUACUCACUGCAUGGAAGCCGUAUUUUGAUCUAUCUACUGCUAUUUUCAUUCAUGCUCCUUCACACAACCGAAAACAGCUAUUUAAUGGUGAAAAUCCAUGCUUUAGAUGCCAGAAACAUGUUAUCAGACACAUCCCAUUAACAGUUCAAAGGCCAACAUUCAAAGAAGCUCAACGGUUAUAUAAAAUAUUGACACGAAUCUCCACUGAACCAGAUGAAGAAAUAUCACCUGUUAUCAAAGAAGAUUCAACAAGUACACUUGUCACAGAAAACACAAAUAAUAACCUGGAAAUUGAGAAUCUUUUAGAAGAUGAUCUUGUUAAAAAUGUGCAAAGAGUGCAUAUGUCAUUGCCUUUACAUGAAGCAGCAAAAGCUGGAAAUGCAGAGAAAGUUCUGGAACUACUAGAACAAGGUUCUGAUCCUUGUGUUAUAGAUGAAAGGGGACGGACUGCUUAUAGGCUUGCAGCUGGUAAAGAAGUAAGGAAUACGUUUAGACAUUUUAUGGCGUUGAACCCGGAUACGUGGGAUUGGCAAGCUGCCAAAGUUCCCAGCCCGUUAACAAAAGAAAUGGAAGAAUCUCAGAACGUAAAGCAGGCGAAUAAGGAUGCUAAAAGGAAAGCAAGAGCCAAAGAGCUGAAACGGAUACACAAAGCUACAAAAAAGAAGGCUAAGGAGGGCGUUCCGUCCAGCCAUCAAGGAACUCGCUGGAUUUCCAGUAGGGUUGCGGGAGCUUUGGUUUUGGUUUUUGGGAGUCUGGUGAUGAUAGCCUUUGGUCAAAUGGUCAAAGGUAGGUGGUGGAAGAAACCACAAAGAACGCAAGAUGAUUAAAUGGAGGUGAUUCGUAUACUUUAAAAGUUAUUCUUACACCCUAAAAUACAACAUCACUGCUGUUCAAGGAGUGUGUGCGAAACCUAGCCAAUAGUUGUUCCUGUCAGCCGUUCACAAAAAAAGGAUGUUAUAAAGCAAGGGAAGAGAAGUUCAGGGGGCUUAUGGUAUCAAGAAGUUAGAUUUUGGACCCAUUUUCAAGAUGUUCACUUUACCCCUCUAUGUUCAAGUAUGGUCUCCAUUCUCAUAGGAUUCUUUUUGUAGUUUCUCGUUCAAAUCUGUACUUAUUUUGCCCUCAAAUUUGUCGUGACAUCUUUGAACAUCGACGUUUUUUUUUUCGAAUGGCUCAUUUAUUUUUG
RNA transcript from Helianthus annuus (common sunflower), 2033 nucleotides. It is a transcript of the gene named ankyrin repeat and zinc finger domain-containing protein 1, with no coding region annotated. The record is from RefSeq and is a predicted model, not a curated record. The transcript is spliced from 9 exons. Lineage: Eukaryota; Viridiplantae; Streptophyta; Magnoliopsida; Asterales; Asteraceae.